AUAUGAAUCAUCGAGGGACCUUGUUAAAAUACAAAUUCUGAUUUAGUAGGUAUGGGUGUGGUGCCUGAGAGUCUGCAUUUCUAAUAAUUGUCACAUGAUGUUGCU
This 105-nucleotide microRNA precursor is filed under the name Marmota monax (woodchuck). Lineage: Eukaryota; Metazoa; Chordata; Mammalia; Rodentia; Sciuridae. The record is from RNAcentral.